GGAUGUGAGGGUGAUCUGGCUGUGACAUCUGUCACCCCAUUGAUGGCCAGAAUUAAUUCAGCUGAUCAGGCUGGCUAUGCGGGUGUCCUCUUUCUCCCUCAUUGUUCCAUGUGCGUCCCUCCCGAAGCUGUGCGCUCAGUGGAAGAAGAUGACCAUCCCUGAUAGAGGAGGACCAAUCUUAGGUCAAGGGCAUAGGAGUAGCCACGCUCGCCUGCUAGAGCCUCCAAACAAGCUCUCAAAACUACUUUUGAAUGCACAUCCACAGAACUGAAGCUGCUAGAGAUGUAGAUGCUUUGGAGAAAAAUCCAAGUAUGGAGACGGCAUCCAAG
This 329-nucleotide small nuclear RNA is filed under the name Pan troglodytes (chimpanzee). It matches the Rfam family "7SK RNA", at positions 1 to 280 of the family's 331-position model. Rfam says of the family: 7SK was discovered as an abundant small nuclear RNA in the mid-70s but a possible function has only recently been suggested. Two independent studies have found that 7SK RNA binds the CDK9/cyclin T complex (known as elongation factor P-TEFb). Lineage: Eukaryota; Metazoa; Chordata; Mammalia; Primates; Hominidae. The record is from RNAcentral.